Molecule: long non-coding RNA, 481 nt
Filed under: Bos taurus (domestic cattle)
Lineage: Eukaryota; Metazoa; Chordata; Mammalia; Artiodactyla; Bovidae
Description: long non-coding RNA NONBTAT011202
Source: RNAcentral
AUUAAUAAAUAUGCAAGACUCUUGUGGAAAUUGUAGUUUUGUCCUUUGAGCAAAAAGAAUAAGAAUGGCUGAGCAACAAUAGCAAUUACAACAAACAGAUAAUAGCCAAAGUCAGCUACUGGUAUUAUGGGAGCUACUAUAAUCACUUAAAUCAUAUUUGCUCUCUCUCUCAUACACUCAGGACAUUGUAAGGACUAUUUUGAUUUGUGUAUCCUUGAGAUACAUAGUUUAGGUUAAAAGUCAGUACAAAAUCAACAAGUAUAGGAAAACUAAGAGUUCCUAGGAGUUAUUAGAAUAUGUUUUGCUUUCCUGAAUUCAUACUAUCACUUCCAGAUUUUGCUUGUCUCUGCUAAACUGUUUUGGCUAUUUAAAAAAGAAAGUGAAAAAGAGAUUUAUUAAUUUGUAAACUUCUUAACUUUCUUUUGUCUUAAUGAGAGACAACAGGCUAUAACAGGACAAUUUCUGUUCUGGGAUAUGACUG